UAUUUUCGUUACUAUUUGAAUCG
Molecule: small nuclear RNA, 23 nt
Filed under: Arabidopsis thaliana (thale cress)
Lineage: Eukaryota; Viridiplantae; Streptophyta; Magnoliopsida; Brassicales; Brassicaceae
Description: snRNA_12360
Source: RNAcentral